Lycium barbarum (goji berry) is the source of this 423-nucleotide long non-coding RNA. RefSeq lists it as uncharacterized. Lineage: Eukaryota; Viridiplantae; Streptophyta; Magnoliopsida; Solanales; Solanaceae. The record is from RefSeq and is a predicted model, not a curated record. The transcript is spliced from 3 exons.
CUCAAAAAAGAAAGGAAAUGUAAUCCCUCUCAAGAGCAGCAAACGGAUUUUUUAUAAAUUCUUCGCACCACUUUGAUCUUGUUGUUUCUUUUAUCGCGUUGUUGAAUCCGGGCUUUCUUUGAAGUGAAGUGAGGUGGAAGGAGAUUAUUUCUUGGCAUAUGAGGUUUAUCAUAUUAAUUAUGGAAGUUCUUGGAUGGACUGAGCUCUUGAACGACGUGAGGUACAGAUGCUCACGUUGGUAACCCGCCAGCUUAGGAGUCCUAUUCAGCUAUCUUGGAGAGCUCCCUUGUUCCGGAGCCUAGAUUUUGGUACAGAAUCUCUUGUGGUGUAUAUGUAUUUUAUCCAGGGGUACGGCGGGGCCCUGUCCCGUCAUAUGAUACUGUUGUUACUCUUAGAGGUCUGUAGACAUAUGUGUGGGUUGUG